GGACUACUCGGGUAUCUAAUCCUGUUUGCUCCCCACGCUUUCGCGCCUUAGCGUCAGUAUCGAGCCAGUAAGUCGCCUUCGCCACUGGUGUUCUUACGAAUAUCUACGAAUUUCACCUCUACACUCGUAAUUCCACUUACCUCUCUCGAUCUCUAGUUCCACAGUAUCAAAUGCACCUCCUAGGUUAAGCCUAGGGCUUUCACAUCUGACUUAUGGUACCGCCUACACGCCCUUUACGCCCAGUAAUUCCGAACAACGCUAGCUCCCCUCGUAUUACCGCGGCUGCUGGCAC
This 292-nucleotide ribosomal RNA is filed under the name uncultured bacterium. RNAcentral describes it as "partial 16S ribosomal RNA". The record is from RNAcentral.